RNAcentral lists this ribosomal RNA (253 nucleotides) under uncultured bacterium. RNAcentral's name for it is "partial 16S ribosomal RNA". It matches the Rfam family "Bacterial small subunit ribosomal RNA", at positions 524 to 776 of the family's 1533-position model. The record is from RNAcentral.
UACAGAGGUCUCAAGCGUUGUUCGGAUUCAUUGGGCGUAAAGGGCGCGUAGGCGGCGCGGUAAGUCGGGUGUGAAAUCUCGGGGCUUAACUUCGAAACUGCAUUCGAUACUGCCGUGCUUGAGGACUGGAGAGGAGACUGGAAUUUACGGUGUAGCGGUGAAAUGCGUAGAUAUCGGAAGGAAGACCAGUGGCGAAGGCGGGUCUCUGGACAGGUCCUGACGCUGAGGCACGAAGGUCAGGGGAGCAAACGGG